This 253-nucleotide ribosomal RNA is filed under the name uncultured bacterium. RNAcentral describes it as "partial 16S ribosomal RNA". It matches the Rfam family "Bacterial small subunit ribosomal RNA", at positions 524 to 776 of the family's 1533-position model. The record is from RNAcentral.
UACGUAGGGUGCAGGCGUUAAUCGGAAUUACUGGGCGUAAAGCGUGCGCAGGCGGUUUGCUAAGACAGGUGUGAAAUCCCCGGGCUUAACCUGGGAACUGCGCUUGUUACUGGCAAGCUGGAGUGUGGCAGAGGGGGGUGGAAUUCCACGUGUAGCAGUGAAAUGCGUAGAUAUCGGGAGGAAUACCGAUGGCGAAGGCAGGUCUCUGGGCUGACACUGACGCUCAUGCACGAAAGCGUGGGGAGCAAACAGG